CGUAUCACUUAAAGCGAUUCAGCGGGUUACGAUUGACGGAGCGAAGCGACGUCAAAGCGUAUACAAAGUCGAGUCGGUUUAAGGAUACGUUCGUUGGGUAGGGGAGCGUUCUGUAAGCCUGUGAAGGUGUGUCGUGAGGCAUGCUGGAGGUAUCAGAAGUGCGAAUGCUGACAUAAGUAACGAUAAAGCGGGUGAAAAGCCCGCUCGCCGGAAGACCAAGGGUUCCUGUCCAACGUUAAUCGGGGCAGGGUGAGUCGACCCCUAAGGCGAGGCCGAAAGGCGUAGUCGAUGGGAAACGGGUUAAUAUUCCCGUACUUGGUGUUACUGCGAAGGGGGGACGGAGAAGGCUAUGUUGGCCGGGCGACGGUUGUCCCGGUUUAAGCGUGUAGGCUGGUUUUCCAGGCAAAUCCGGAAAAUCAAGGCUGAGGCGUGAUGACGAGGUACUACGGUGCUGAAGCAACAAAUGCCCUGCUUCCAGGAAAAGCCUCUAAGCAUCAGGUAACAUCAAAUCGUACCCCAAACCGACACAGGUGGUCAGGUAGAGAAUACCAAGGCGCUUGAGAGAACUCGGGUGAAGGAACUAGGCAAAAUGGUGCCGUAACUUCGGGAGAAGGCACGCUGACACGUAGGUGAAGUGAUUUACUCAUGGAGCUGAAGUCAGUCGAAGAUACCAGCUGGCUGCAACUGUUUAUUAAAAACACAGCACUGUGCAAACACGAAAGUGGACGUAUACGGUGUGACGCCUGCCCGGUGCCGGAAGGUUAAUUGAUGGGGUCAGCGCAAGCGAAGCUCCUGAUCGAAGCCCCGGUAAACGGCGGCCGUAACUAUAACGGUCCUAAGGUAGCGAAAUUCCUUGUCGGGUAAGUUCCGACCUGCACGAAUGGCGUAAUGAUGGCCAGGCUGUCUCCACCCGAGACUCAGUGAAAUUGAACUCGCUGUGAAGAUGCAGUGUACCCGCGGCAAGACGGAAAGACCCCGUGAACCUUUACUAUAGCUUGACACUGAACAUUGAGCCUUGAUGUGUAGGAUAGGU
RNAcentral lists this ribosomal RNA (1033 nucleotides) under Salmonella enterica subsp. enterica serovar Corvallis. Its description in RNAcentral is "partial 23S ribosomal RNA". It matches the Rfam family "Bacterial large subunit ribosomal RNA", at positions 1154 to 2148 of the family's 2925-position model. The record is from RNAcentral. Lineage: Bacteria; Pseudomonadati; Pseudomonadota; Gammaproteobacteria; Enterobacterales; Enterobacteriaceae.